UAGGGAAUCUUCCACAAUGGACGCAAGUCUGAUGGAGCAACGCCGCGUGAGUGAAGAAGGUCUUCGAAUCGUAAAACUCUGUUGUUAGAGAAGAACACGAGUGAGAGUAACUGUUCAUUCGAUGACGGUAUCUAACCAGCAAGUCACGGCUAACUACGUGCCAA
This 164-nucleotide ribosomal RNA is filed under the name uncultured bacterium. RNAcentral describes it as "partial 16S rRNA". It matches the Rfam family "Bacterial small subunit ribosomal RNA", at positions 355 to 511 of the family's 1533-position model. The record is from RNAcentral.